UAUACUAGUGACAUAACAAUAAAUGCAUCGAAUGUUAAGUCUAUUUUGUGUCUUAUCUGUGGUUAUAUAUCCAAAUAUGUUACGUAUUGCGCAUGCGAUGAGUGAUCGAUUGUCUUUGCGUUAAGAUGUUAUGUGAUAUCUGAUAUUUCGAAAAUGUUUCUGUCAAAAAAAUCUAAAAGUUUCGGUGUGCUAACCUUUCUUUUCUGUAAAUUUUAUGAUAUUAAUUAUUCAAUUCAAUAUAAAUUUUUAUUUCUAAUGUCAAAUAACGAAAUCAAAAAAAGAAUGGUGGAUUGCAUGUUAAAUAUACCAAUAAAGUGUUUUAUAAGUUUAGCCUGUUAAAAGUAUCAGACUCGUUUGCGAUGACGUAAAAUAUAAUCUAGAAUAUAACAGGAUGAAUAAAUCGAGAGUAGGGUCAGAAUAUAUUCCGUUAGUGGGAGACGACAUGUUGCAAACGCGAUACGUUUUACAUUUUGCUAAAUUAGCAUGGUUUACAGUAUCUUUACCUUUUUUCGCAUUUUUAUUUUGUAUCACUUGGUCUGUUGUAUAUAAUUUUGAGCAUUCGACUUCUACACAUUGUAAAGUUUAUAAUUUUUUACCAUCUGUAUCUGCUGCGAUUGGACAUUACAGGCCACAAAGAGAUGUUUGGAAAAUUGCAAUAGCUAUGCAAGCAGUGGUAAGAAUUUUAGUAUUAAUAAUGUAUCGCCGUUAUUAUAAAGAGCAUAUCUAUAAAUGGGCACAAAAUAUUUGUAAUGUUGCAACUGUUAUCUAUGCUAUUGAAAACAUAUCACUUAUAUCAUUAAGUUUUUGGACAUCAAAUGAGAAUUAUGUUUUUCAUAAAGUAUCUUUUAUAACAUUUUUAAUAACAUCUGUCAUUCAUAUGCAGAUAGCAUAUUAUAUAAUGAGAAACUGUCGUAAUAUUACUAAAGAAUCUUCUGAAGCUAUCUCUCUAAAAUGGAAGAGAAGAUCUAUGAUGUUGAAUUUAUUGUGUAUAUUAUUUGCAGGCUACUUUUUUUACAGUAAAAAUAAAACUUGAUAUAAUACAAACAUUUUUUUGCAGUUUACUCUAUGUUUGCAUUAAGCGAAUAUGGAGUUGUUCUUUCAAAUAUAGGAUUUCAUUCAACAACAGCUUGGGAUUUUGCAAAUUCUUCUCUUAUGAUAUCAGGAAAAGGAUUUAGAAUAAUUUAAUAUUGUACAAAAAUUAUUAUUUUUAAACAUCUCUAUGAAAGAAAUUAUUUUGACUAAAAAUAUUCCCAAAGCAAUCGUCAUCGUUUGUGUGAAAUACAGAAGUUACAUGCAUAUUUGUAAAAAGAAAAAAUAGAAGAAAAAUUAA
RNA transcript from Apis dorsata (giant honeybee), 1330 nucleotides. It is a transcript of the gene named post-GPI attachment to proteins factor 2, with no coding region annotated. The record is from RefSeq and is a predicted model, not a curated record. Lineage: Eukaryota; Metazoa; Arthropoda; Insecta; Hymenoptera; Apidae. The transcript has 5 exons.